CGAGCACGCGCGUGUGGCAUAUCAAUAAGCGGAGGAAAAGAAACUAACAAGGAUUCCCUUAGUAACGGCGAGUGAAGCGGGAAGAGCUCAAAUUUGAAAUCUUCAAGGUUCUACCUUGACGAAUUGUAGUUUAUAGAAGUGUUUUCUGUUAGUGGAGUGGCAAAAGUUCUUUGGAAUAGGACAUCAUAGAGGGUGAGAAUCCCGUAUUUGGUCAUUCCUCCUAGCGUUGUGAUACACUUUCAACGAGUCGGAUUGUUUGGGAAUGCAGUCCAAGAUGGGUGGUAAAUUUCAUCUAAAGCUAAAUAUUGGCGAGAGACCGAUAGCGAACAAGUACCGUGAGGGAAAGAUGAAAAGAACUUUGAAAAGAGAGUUAAACAGUACGUGAAAUUGUCAAAAGGGAAGCGUUUGACACCAGUGUUGUUUUUCCGAAAAUCAAUUACGAAUGUUUUAUUUUUGAGGAGUUAUGACUUCAUCGGCUUGCUCCUUUCUUUACGAAACUUUCUUAAUGCACUUUUCGGUUAACAAGUCAACAUCAAUUUCUUUUGUUGUAAAAGGGUAUGAGGAAGGUGGCUUUCUUUUCGGAGAAAGUGUUUAUAGCCUUGUGCCUCUGCAAUCGGAGAGAUUGAGGUCUGCAGCGUAGAUCCUUCGGGGUUAGAUACAUUUGUGCUAAGUUAUAGCUUUUCAUAGACAACUUGUUGACUAUGUUUAGUCUUGUAGCUUACUCGCUUAUGCUAUUUUACCUACGCUUAGGAUGUUGAUGUGAUACUGCGAGCA
This 774-nucleotide ribosomal RNA is filed under the name uncultured Neocallimastigales. Its description in RNAcentral is "partial large subunit ribosomal RNA". It matches the Rfam family "Eukaryotic large subunit ribosomal RNA", at positions 19 to 646 of the family's 3401-position model. The record is from RNAcentral. Lineage: Eukaryota; Fungi; Neocallimastigomycota; Neocallimastigomycetes; Neocallimastigales.